Molecule: long non-coding RNA, 163 nt
Organism: Coregonus clupeaformis (lake whitefish)
Lineage: Eukaryota; Metazoa; Chordata; Actinopteri; Salmoniformes; Salmonidae
Exons: 3
Source: RefSeq, a predicted model, not a curated record
CCUGACAGCACUCCUCAGGCGUUACUUUGAAAACCAAGGGACAACCAACUUCUCUCUGAGGCUGGCCGCUAUCAGACGUGCUAUGGAGGCUCUGACAUCCUCAGACAGUACCUCCCUCAAUUACCUCACCCACGCUGGGAGGAUGGUGUUGAGUGGACUAUCC